CUCCCAAAGCGUAACGGAGGAGCACGAAGGUUAGCUAAUCCUGGUCGGACAUCAGGAGGUUAGUGCAAUGGCAUAAGCUAGCUUGACUGCGAGCGUGACGGCGCGAGCAGGUGCGAAAGCAGGUCAUAGUGAUCCGGUGGUUCUGAAUGGAAGGGCCAUCGCUCAACGGAUAAAAGGUACUCCGGGGAUAACAGGCUGAUACCGCCCAAGAGUUCAUAUCGACGGCGGUGUUUGGCACCUCGAUGUCGGCUCAUCACAUCCUGGGGCUGAAGUAGGUCCCAAGGGUAUGGCUGUUCGCCAUUUAAAGUGGUACGCGAGCUGGGUUUAGAACGUCGUGAGACAGUUCGGUCCCUAUCUGCCGUGGGCGCUGGAGAAUUGAGGGGGGCUGCUCCUAGUACGAGAGGACCGGAGUGGACGCAUCACUGGUGUUCGGGUUGUCAUGCCAAUGGCACUGCCCGGUAGCUAAAUGCGGAAGAGAUAAGUGCUGAAAGCAUCUAAGCACGAAACUUGCCCCGAGAUGAGUUCUCCCUGAGACUU
Molecule: ribosomal RNA, 537 nt
Filed under: Klebsiella pneumoniae
Lineage: Bacteria; Pseudomonadati; Pseudomonadota; Gammaproteobacteria; Enterobacterales; Enterobacteriaceae
Description: partial 23S ribosomal RNA
Rfam family: Bacterial large subunit ribosomal RNA
Source: RNAcentral